Molecule: ribosomal RNA, 467 nt
Filed under: uncultured bacterium
Lineage: Bacteria
Description: partial 16S ribosomal RNA
Rfam family: Bacterial small subunit ribosomal RNA
Source: RNAcentral
GACGAACGCUGGCGGCGUGCUUAACACAUGCAAGUCGAACGGAAAGGCUCCAGCUUGCUGGAGUACUCGAGUGGCGAACGGGUGAGUAACACGUGGGUAAUCUGCCCUGCACUCUGGGAUAAGCCUGGGAAACUGGGUCUAAUACUGGAUAUGACCUUUCUCCUUAAGGGGUUUGGUGGAAAGUUUUUCGGUGUAGGAUGAGCCCGCGGCCUAUCAGCUUGUUGGUGGGGUGAUGGCCUACCAAGGCGACGACGGGUAGCCGGCCUGAGAGGGUGAUCGGCCACAUUGGGACUGAGAUACGGCCCAGACUCCUGCGGGAGGCAGCAGUGGGGAAUAUUGCACAAUGGGCGGAAGCCUGAUGCAGCGACGCCGCGUGAGGGAUGACGGCCUUCGGGUUGUAAACCUCUUUCAGCAGGGACGAAGCGUAAGUGACGGUACCUGCAGAAGAAGCACCGGCUAACUAUGUG